CCCCGGGCGGCUGACACCUUCCAGUCCUGAACAGGCUUAUCAAGGCCUUGCCUAUUGGUGGAGUAAAGUGUUUGCGUCCCUGAUAUCAGCAGUAAAGACCAAUCGAUUCCACGAACCGUCCAAUCUUAUCAUAAUCAUGGUGGACGUUCGUACCUCGUGGCAAUUCCCUGAUAUCGUAUCUGAAGAUAUGAUCGAGUGUAUAAAUAUGGGACCAUCGAUUGAUCGACUCUCUAUCGAGGUUUGAGCUGUGAUUAAUAUUGACUUCAGUGUUCUGAAUAUAAUGGUAGUUAUAUAGGACACGUGAGUCGACGGAUAUUACGGCUACAUAUCUGAGUUGGACAGGGGAUCUUGACAGUUUGCUUUAUGCUGCCAGAUCUAUCUUUCCAGCUCAUAUGUGAGCCCACCUACGUCAUGACACAUCAGCAGUAGAAGAAAUAAACAAGAAAUUGCGUAAAGGAUUAAGUGGAGGUGUGAUCUCUUCACUUUUUAUGUUUAAAGUGAGAUUCAACUCCUCCAACUUAACCCUGAAUCGCAUUUGCAUCUGAACGGCGAUCUUCUGAAGCUCAAAUAAUUUGAUAAAUUAUUUAUUGUAACUAUUGCUUAUGAUUUCAUGUGUCACAAGGUUGAAUUAUGCGUAUUAAAGCUGUAAAAUUUAUAUUUUUGACAAAUAAAGAUAGUAAAAAUU
This is a long non-coding RNA of Pieris napi, 685 nucleotides long. RefSeq lists it as uncharacterized. The record is from RefSeq and is a predicted model, not a curated record. Lineage: Eukaryota; Metazoa; Arthropoda; Insecta; Lepidoptera; Pieridae. The transcript is spliced from 2 exons.